Molecule: ribosomal RNA, 429 nt
Filed under: uncultured archaeon
Lineage: Archaea
Description: bacterial SSU rRNA
Rfam family: Archaeal small subunit ribosomal RNA
Source: RNAcentral
UACCAGCUCUCCGAGUUGUAGGGAUGAUUAUUGGGCUUAAAGCGUCCGUAGCUGGCUUAGCAAGUCUCCUGUUAAAUUCAGCGACCUAAUCGUUGAGCCGCGGGAGAUACUACUAGGCUAGGAGGCGGGAGAGGUCGACGGUACUUUCGGGGUAGGGGUGAAAUCCUAUAAUCCCGGGAGGACCACCAGUGGCGAAGGCUGUCGACUAGAACGCGCUCGACGGUGAGGGACGAAAGCUGGGGGAGCGAACCGGAUUAGAUACCCGGGUAGUCCCAGCUGUAAACGAUGCAGGCUAGGUGUUUGGGCGGCCACGUGCCGCUCUAGUGCCGCAAAGAAGUUGUUAAGCCUGCCGCCUGGGGAGUACGGCCGCAAGGCUGAAACUUAAAGGAAUUGGCGGGGGAGCACCACAAGGGGUGAAGCUUGCGGUUU